UACGGAGGGUGCAAGCGUUAUCCGGAUUUAUUGGGUUUAAAGGGUGCGUAGGCGGACUUAUAAGUCAGUGGUGAAAGCCUGUCGCUUAACGAUAGAACUGCCAUUGAUACUGUAAGUCUUGAGUAUAUUUGAGGUAGCUGGAAUAAGUAGUGUAGCGGUGAAAUGCAUAGAUAUUACUUAGAACACCAAUUGCGAAGGCAGGUUACCAAGAUAUAACUGACGCUGAGGGACGAAAGCGUGGGGAGCGAACAGG
Molecule: ribosomal RNA, 253 nt
Filed under: uncultured bacterium
Lineage: Bacteria
Description: partial 16S ribosomal RNA
Rfam family: Bacterial small subunit ribosomal RNA
Source: RNAcentral